This 60-nucleotide transfer RNA is filed under the name Rhinebothrium taeniuri. RNAcentral's name for it is "tRNA-Arg". The record is from RNAcentral. Lineage: Eukaryota; Metazoa; Platyhelminthes; Cestoda; Rhinebothriidea; Rhinebothriidae.
AGUGUAGAAAAUGUUCAUGUUACGGCCAUGAAAUCGGUGACAGGUGUUUACCCUAUGCUU